GCUGUGGAACUCCUACGGGAGGCAGCAGUGGGGAAUUUUGGACAAUGGGGGCAACCCUGAUCCAGCAAUGCUGCGUGAGUGAAGAAGGUCUUCGGGUUGUAAAGCUCUUUUGUCAGGGAAGAAACGGUAGUAGCUAAUAUCUAUUACUAAUGACGGUACCUGAAGAAUAAGCACCGGCUAACUACGUGCCAGCAGCCGCGGUAAUACGUAGGGUGCAAGCGUUAAUCGGAAUUACUGGGCGUAAAGCGUGCGCAGGCGGUUGUGUAAGUCAGAUGUGAAAUCCCCGGGCUCAACCUGGGAAAGGCAUUUGAGACUGCACGGCUAUAGUGUGUCAGAGGGGGGUAGAAUUCCACGUGUAGCAGUGAAAUUCGUAGAUAUGUGGAGGAAUACCGAUGGCGAAGGCAGCCCCCUGGGAUAACACUCACGCUCAUGCACUAAAGCGUGGGGAGCAAACAGAAUUAUAGACCCUAGUAGUCCUACCACGU
This 485-nucleotide ribosomal RNA is filed under the name uncultured bacterium. Its description in RNAcentral is "bacterial SSU rRNA". It matches the Rfam family "Bacterial small subunit ribosomal RNA", at positions 327 to 800 of the family's 1533-position model. The record is from RNAcentral.